UAAGAACCGUGGUUAAAAAAUUUUCGAAGUGCCAAGAAAAUGCUUACUGAUUGUAUGCCAACAAGCCUAUAAUCCCUUAUGAAUUCAAUGGCCAAGCUGGAUCCCCAACCGAAUAAGCUUCAGAAUCUCAACAAAAUAUCUAAACGCAAUAACCCAAUGAUGUGCAAGCUAAAUGAAGACCAUCCAAUUUGCAUGCAGGCUUGAGAAAAAUCCAGAAAUAUAGGAUUUUGGUCCUCUUCUCCUCCGCCAACCCUAAAGUUCAAUCAAAACCACAAAUCUCAUCAGAUCCUUCGUCAAACUCGGGAUUUCGAAUCGAAUCUAAACGCGUGGUCUCGAAGAAUCCCCGCCAAGAUGUACAAACACACAUUCAAAAUCUCUCAUUGAAUAUGCCAAACAAAACUUUACCAAACGAACUGAAAUUUAUUGGAACCUCCGCCAUCAAAGAGGAACAAAAAGAUAGGUUAAUCUUCAAAAGAACAAAAAAAAUCCAUUUUAUUGGAAGCAUAAAAAAAAUGUAAAGCCACCCUUACACCAAUCACACAAAAUCAGAUAAUCAAACAAGUACCAAAAAUAAAAAUAAAAAUAAACAAAAAAUUAGAUAAAAAUCAAAGACUAAAAUGAGGGGCUCUGACCUCCUACUGAAAUGUAACAGAGGAAGGCUUGACUGAGUUGUAACAAAUGCCCACUAAAAUGAAGUCAAGAAGCAUGAAAAGGGAAUAGUACAGUAGGAAAAAAUAAAAAUCAGAUGAGAGAUGAUUAUGAUAGAGGUUGAGUAGAGAGAAGAAGCUAAAUAGGUCUUGAAGGGCUUCAUCAUCGAGAAAAGGAGCUACCUUUUUUGCUCAGGGGGAAAAAAGAUCACCACAAAUAAAAAAGGAGCGUAGAACGAAUAAGAUUGGUGAUCAUUUAGUAUCCCGCGAGGAAAGUUACUGAUCCUCAAAACCCUCCCCGCCCCCGCACCCUCUCUCUCUCAGAGUGAGAGAGCCUCAGCUUUUCGGGCGGUGACAAGUGGUGUUGGGCUCUGGAAUGAAAAGCGAAUGAUUCUAGACUCGCACCACCUUCGAUAGCGUGGAGAGAGACCGGAAGCGGCUGGAGAAACAGAACGGUGGGCAGUGGAGUGCGAGCUUAAGAUCACUUGCGGUAAGAACAGCGAUAAGAAAAGCGAACCGUCGAUCCUCUUUUCCGAUAAAAAUCCUAGAAGAUUCUCUUAACUUUUUU
Molecule: long non-coding RNA, 1215 nt
Filed under: Elaeis guineensis (African oil palm)
Lineage: Eukaryota; Viridiplantae; Streptophyta; Magnoliopsida; Arecales; Arecaceae
Description: long non-coding RNA (EGUI_LNC079661)
Source: RNAcentral